AAUGGUAAGUACAUUGAAUCCAUUAGUUCCCAAUGGAUCACUGAAGAUAAGCAACGUUGCGCGUGAUUGGUAACACAAUGGUGACCGUCUGAGCAAUCGCGUAGUGCUGGCU
RNAcentral lists this ribosomal RNA (112 nucleotides) under Diaphorina citri (Asian citrus psyllid). Lineage: Eukaryota; Metazoa; Arthropoda; Insecta; Hemiptera; Psyllidae. The record is from RNAcentral.